CGCUGGCGGCACGCCUUAUACAUGCAAGUCGAACGAAGUAGCAAUACUUAGUGGCAGACGGGUGAGUAACAUGUAGGUAUCUUCCCUUUGGUGAGGAAUAACACGAGGAAACUUGUGCUAAUACCUCAUAAGUCUUUACGGAGAAAGCUUUAUGCGCCGAAGGAUGAGCCUGCACUUGAUUAGUUUGUUGGUGGGGUAAUGGCCUACCAAAACUUUGAUCAAUAGCUGAUCUGAGAGGAUGAUCAGCCACAUUGGGACUGAGACACGGCCCAAACUCCUACGGGAGGCAGCAGUAGGGAAUAUUGCACAAUGGAGGAAACUCUGAUGCAGCGAUGCCGCGUGAGUGAAGAAGGCCUUUGGGUUGUAAAGCUCUUUCGUCGGGGAAGAAAAUGACUGUACCCGAAUAAGAAGGUCCGGCUAACUUCGUGCCAGCAGCCGCGGUAAUACGAAGGGACCUAGCGUAGUUCGGAAUUACUGGGCUUAAAGAGUUCGUAGGUUGUUAAAAAAGUUGGUGGUGAAAUCCCAGAGCUUAACUCUGGAACUGCCAUCAAAACUUUUUAGCUAGAGUGUGAUAGAGGAAAGUAGAAUUUCUAGUGUAGAGGUGAAAUUCGUAGAUAUUAGAAAGAAUACCAAUUGCGAAGGCAGCUUUCUGGAUCAUUACUGACACUGAGGAACGAAAGCAUGGGUAGCGAAGAGGAUUAGAUACCCUCGUAGUCCAUGCCGUAAACGAUGUGUGUUAGACGUUGGAAAUUUAUUUUCAGUGUCGCAGCGAAAGCAUUAAACACACCGCCUGGGGAGUACGACCGCA
RNAcentral lists this ribosomal RNA (808 nucleotides) under uncultured Pelagibacteraceae bacterium. RNAcentral's name for it is "bacterial SSU rRNA". It matches the Rfam family "Bacterial small subunit ribosomal RNA", at positions 34 to 890 of the family's 1533-position model. Lineage: Bacteria; Pseudomonadati; Pseudomonadota; Alphaproteobacteria; Candidatus Pelagibacterales; Candidatus Pelagibacteraceae. The record is from RNAcentral.